Molecule: long non-coding RNA, 235 nt
Organism: Bubalus bubalis (water buffalo)
Lineage: Eukaryota; Metazoa; Chordata; Mammalia; Artiodactyla; Bovidae
Exons: 2
Source: RefSeq, a predicted model, not a curated record
CUACAAUAACGGGAAAAGCUAGUAUAAUUUUUGAUUUUCUGGGAACUGAAGACUUUGAACACAUAUGUCUGCAAGGAAAUGUGACAUAGGGCCUAAACAGGAAUGAAACAUCCAAGCAUGCUGAGGAGCUGCUCCUUGUGUAGAAACCUCAAGAAAGAAACCAAGAUUUUAUUAAGAUGCUACCAUGCCCACUCCAGUACUCUUGCCUGGAAAAUCCCAUGGACGGAGGAGGCAG